UCAUGCCCUUAACCUCAUUUAGAAAUACAGAAAUAUGAAUCCUGCUUCACCAAUCUUUAAAGUCCUACAAAUAUAACAAUCUAGAAUGUUUGUAAGGGGUUUCCACAACUUGACUUUUGAACCUUUAGAUUUUCAUUUAAAUGAGAACCAUGGACACAGCACAUCAGAAUCUUUAGUUAAGUUAGGCAUAAUCAUUGACAUGCUUUAAGUGUUUAACCAGUAAUCAGGUUCGACCAUGAAUUUUUUUAUCCAGAAAAACUUAGUAUCUCAUUUUACAUUUUGCAAGCCAUUAAAGUUCAACAAAAAGAGAAAACAUCAAAUUAGAGCCUGCUGCUUAAUCAAGGAGACAAAAGGUGAUAAAGGGCCUAAAAAGAAAGGGAAGUGUUGCUGGAAAUUGGACCCGGGGGCGGCCGUCGGCUGAGAAGGAGGAGCUCCGGCUUGAGAUGGCGGACGGCGGUCCGUCGGCGGUUGGCGUCCUCCGGAGAACCCACAAAAAGCCGGUGGCUGGGGUUUCCGGCGCCGGCCCUCCGAUGCCUAAGUCAGAGGGGGCAAAUGUAGAGGAGGAGAGGAAAUAUGUCUCAGGAGUUUUUAGGGUCCAACCCCCUCUAAGGAGGAGGGGUUUUCCUUUUAUAGAGGGAUACAGGUGUACCUGUGAUGUAACGGGGCGAACGGGUUACCGUCAUGAUUGAGCAUGUCGUCUGAAUUAAUGCAUGAUCGUGUGAAUUAUUGCAUUGCCGUAGGAGAUCAGGCCGGAGCCAGUGAGUCGUCGUGGCUGAUCGGACGUAGCCGAGUAAGUCAGCUGUUUGCCGUGAAGGACUUGAGAUCCGUAGAUAACAUGCGCAUUAAUUGUUGAGUGAGCCGGAGAUCUGCGGAGGCCAUGCGCAUUAAUUGUUGAGUGAGCCGGAGAUCUGCGGAGGCCAUACGCAUUAAUUGUUGACAGCGGUAGCAGGGCAUGGUCCCCGGUCGAGCUGCAGAAGGAUGUGACCGCAACAGAUAGGUAGCAAAGUCGGACUUCUGAGGUCGGGUUGCCCAGGUCGGGGGUCUCGGAAUCGGGUGUCUGGCCGGGGGCCGGGUCGAGAGCCCUGAGGUCGGGCUUUCAGUUAGGCAACUUGAAGUCGGACGCCUCCAGAUCCGACGCCCUUGGGUCAGACGCUUUCAGAUCGGGCGCCCUCAGUUUUGGCGCCUCUGGAGCCGGGCGUCUUCAGGUCGAGCGCCUCUGGAGCCGGGCAUCUUCAGGUCGGGCGCCUCCAGGUCGAGCGCCUUCAGUCACGUGCUGGAGAUCUGCUCACGUGCUUCAGGGCGAUUUAUUUUCCCCCAACACUACCCCCGACUUCCGAGUUCGAGCCGUUCACGAGCUCGGGCUCGGAAA
RNAcentral lists this long non-coding RNA (1369 nucleotides) under Phoenix dactylifera (date palm). RNAcentral describes it as "long non-coding RNA (PDAC_LNC014884)". The record is from RNAcentral. Lineage: Eukaryota; Viridiplantae; Streptophyta; Magnoliopsida; Arecales; Arecaceae.